GAAUAACAUAGUGUAUUUGAAAUCCUAAUGUAAUUGCAUGCACAUGGUCCAGGCAAAACCGUAAAAGUCCAGCGGCAGUUAUCAGUUUCAUAUUUCAUACCACUACGUUUGUAACAUUUUGCAUAUCCAAUGGACAAGAAAGCAGCAGCACCACUAAAUCAUCAAACCUCAAACCACACACACACUGGCUGCUGGGAAUAUAUAUAUAUAUAUAUAUAUAUAUAUAUAUAUAUAUAUAUAUAUAUAUAUAUAGGGAUACAUAUAUGGUUCGAAUUUUAUAGAGGGAACAAAAGACAUCAACAAAUUAAACAAGCAGUGCUAAUUGGUUCGAUAACUCCUUUUUUCUGCACGUAAAAUGGAGUAGACAUAAACGAUCUUCAGGACAUUUUUCACAAGUCCAGUCUUCAGCUUAGUGAAUACGUCCUCGGGUCAUUUUAUCUGCUCGGAUGUUAACAGGCGCAUUAGAGGGUGAAACAAAAGAGCUAACAACUGAGCCAAUAUUAAACAUAAUGCAUCGACCUCCUUAACUGCGCUACUCCAAUCAUUCAUGUUUAUAAGACUGUAAGUAUUUUAAAUAAACAUUGACCCUUAAUGUGAUCACCAAAGCAUUGUUACAUGUCACGAAAAUAUAUCAUUUGAAUCUUCUUUUAAAUGUGAGUCCAAUUAUACAUUUUUUGUGGCAUGUAAGUAAUAUUCUGUUGAUCAAAUUAGUGGUCAACUUUUAAAAAGAAUACGUGUAGGCCUUAUAAAAAUGUGAAAUGAUACUAUUCACAAACUAUAGCCGCCUUUGGCUAAUAUGGAAAGUGCUGUUCUGUCUUCUUAAUUAACGUAAAUUCAACAGGUUGGCAAUGUAUAUGCUAAAAUAAGUGUCAGCUAUUUUUAAAAGGAAGGGUCAAAAAGAGCCCAACUUUGAAUUAAUAAAGUCAUCAACCGACCAGAAUUAACAGAUGUGUCAACUUUAAAUCAGGACUACAACUACAAACUCUGUGUUUUCUAAAUCUAAGUAGAUGCCCUGAGCCGUCCAAUGUCUCCGCAUUGGGACUUGCGGACAGAUUGGGAGAUCAAGAUUAAAUCAGAGGGCUAUCCCAUCAACUUAGGCAUAAGAAAAUUCAGUCUACUCAUAUUAGCCAUAGACGAAGUCCAAUAAUAUUAGGUGCAAUAUAUCGAUUAUUGUUCCUAAAAUAUGGCUCAAUGUAUCAUUUACAACAAAUAAAUAUUCCACCACAGAAUUAGUGUACUCAUUUUCUCGCAAUAGGACAUUAUCAUCAGUUAAUUUAUUUCUACUUGUAGCACAAAAUAAGUGUGUGACAAACUAAAUAUGCCGGUCAGGAUUAGCUAGCUGUAGGUUGGCACAUAUAGAGUAUAGAGAGUGCAGAGACAAACACACGAGAGCCUUUUAGUACUUAUGUUUUAGAUCUUUCAACAUUUUCCUUUUUUUAAUCUUUACUUCAAGGGAACACUUGUGCAUGCACGACAUGAAAUAUCAACUAUUGUACGUACGCAUCCAGAUCGGCUGCAAAGUCAUCUAGUACGGGAACACACUCUUUUUGCAUUCAAGGUUAUAUAUAUAGCAGUACAUAAAUUAAGAUAUAUGUUUUAUUACCAUGACCAUGAGAGAUGAUAUGCUGUUUCUUCGAUACUUCCGAAAAUAAAUCACCU
RNAcentral lists this long non-coding RNA (1659 nucleotides) under Triticum aestivum (bread wheat). RNAcentral's name for it is "long non-coding RNA (TAES_LNC023909)". The record is from RNAcentral. Lineage: Eukaryota; Viridiplantae; Streptophyta; Magnoliopsida; Poales; Poaceae.